UGCUCCUUAGUUCAGUGGUUCAGAAUAGUUCCCUUACAAGGAAAAGGUCAUAGGUUCGAGUCCUAUAGGAGCAAC
Molecule: transfer RNA, 75 nt
Filed under: uncultured phage cr85_1
Lineage: Duplodnaviria; Heunggongvirae; Uroviricota; Caudoviricetes; Crassvirales; Steigviridae
Also listed under: 1 other name
Description: crAssphage cr85_1 tRNA-Val
Rfam family: tRNA
About the family: Transfer RNA (tRNA) molecules are approximately 80 nucleotides in length. Their secondary structure includes four short double-helical elements and three loops (D, anti-codon, and T loops).
Source: RNAcentral